AAUUUAGGUUCUGUUUUUAACGCCGUCGCAAUCUGGCUCUCCUUCGUUACUCAUUCAUUGCAUCUUAUCUUCUAGCACCAUCCGCCGCCACCACGCGCUUUCUUUCUCAAUAAUUUCCUUCGCAAUCUUCACCGGUGAGCCUUUCCAAUUCUGAUAAAGCACGCGCGAUAGCGGUGGGAGAUAGAUCGAAGAGAUAGCGCGCUGAUUGUUUUUUAGGGUUCUGUAUCCUUUUCCCGAUUUUGUUUGAUUCUAUUGUCCUUCAAUUUUCUUCUGAGUCGGGAAGUAGAAAGGGGGGGAUUCGUUUGGUUGUGCGUUGUAUACUUUGCUAUUUUCUAGUUCCCGCUGCAUCAAAUCCUAAUUCCGAAUUCCGAUUGCGGAAUCCGAGGAAAGGGAAAAUUGGAUCGAUUUGCUUCGUGCAAAUUAGGUUUUGGUUUCUUUUCUCAAUUUGAAGAAAUUUGGAUAGAUCGGGCCUGGGUGAGUCGAGGAAAAUUCGUUUACGAAAGCAAUUUUAGGGGACUUCUGUCAGGUCUAGGCUUUUUUUUUUCCAUUCUAGCGGAUUAUUAAUUAGAAUCAUGGCCGCUGGAAGGCACGGGGGUUAUAGAGACAAUGAAUUCAGGGACCGUGAGACAGAUUAUGGAACAUCGAGGAAGGAUAUUGGCUCUUUAAAUGGAGAAUAUGAGCGGGGAAGGAAAGGUAGUCGAGAUUUUGAUAGGAGUCAGAUCCGUGGUCGAGGCAGUCUCGAGUAUCAGGAUAGGGUCAGGCGAAGAGAUGUAGGAGGAAGGGAGAUGAGGAAUGGUGGACAUCGCUCUACUUCUAGCAGGAGUGAUUCAGGAAGUAGUGGUGGCGGGCCUAGGAGGUGUGGGUAUGCAGUUCGCCCCGUGGAUCGAGAACCCGGGGAACUGUCUAGUGAUGGAUCUGAUGGUGCUACUGAGGCUGAAAUUCAAUGUAAUAAAGAAACUGAUGUUACAAUAUUGGAUAGUGGGAGACAGUUGUCACCCAUUCCAAAUAAGAAGAGGAAGUUUUCCCCAAUUGUUUGGGACAGAGAUGAUAAGGAUGCCACUCGAACAAUCAGAAGCACGAAAGUGUUGGAAAGUAGUAACUUGCCGCCACUACCACCACCUCCUCCUCCUCCUUUGCCUGUUCCCCUUAAGUCUAACUCUAUUCAUGACGAUGCGGAACAGAAUUCACUGGUUGAAGACAAUGGUGUGCAUGUUUCGGGGGCCCCACCUUCGGACAUUGAUUCGCUGCCGUAUGUGUCAGAAUUGCCUGGCAUGACAGAUUCUUCAGUACCCAAAGAAGAAGACAGGGUCAAUGACAUGAUAGCAGAGACAAAUGAUGAAAAUGACUAUGUUCCACGGACUAUAACAUCAUCCCGAUGGGCAAAUGAUGCUGAGUCACCAUCUGACGAAGGUGAGAUUUCUGAUUAUGAAGACAGCUGGAAGAUGAAGAGGAAGUCUCAAUCUGAAUCAGCUGAAGCAAAGGUAGGCAGGAAGUCAAUUAGUCCUGGGCUUGGAGAAUAUUCUGAAGGAACAAAGGUACGGUCAUUGGGUUCAGAUGAACGUGUAAGGUCUUCCAGUAGAGAUAGUUACAAUGACACUGUUGAUAAGAAUGACUACAUGGAAGUAGAUGAUGAUCAGAAUAUUGUUUGUAGUGAUGCUAGCCAUUCUGGCACCGAGUCAGAGGAUGAUGUUGGCUCUCAUGGCACACCAGAACAAGUCCAUCCUCCACAGAGGAGCUUCAAUAUGCUUCAUGGUUGCAGAAGUGUUGAUGAGUUUGAACGACUGAAUAGGAUUGAUGAAGGAACAUAUGGGAUUGUUUUCAGAGCCAAGGACAAGAAAACUGGAGAAGUUGUGGCUCUGAAGAAGGUCAAGAUGGAUAGGGAGAGAGAAGGGUUUCCUUUGACUUCUCUUAGAGAAAUAAAUAUUCUUCUUUCUAUUCAUCACCCAUCCAUUGUGGAUGUUAAAGAAGUUGUUGUGGGGAGCAACCUUGACAGUAUAUAUAUGGUCAUGGAGUACAUGGAACAUGACCUCAAAGGAUUGAUGGAGACAAUGAAACAACCUUAUAGUCAGAGUGAGGUUAAAUGCUUGAUGCUUCAGCUUUUAGAGGGCAUCAAGUAUCUUCAUGAUAAUUGGGUCCUGCACCGUGAUCUGAAAACUUCAAAUCUUCUUUUGAAUAACUGUGGUGAUUUGAAGAUCUGUGACUUUGGACUGGCCCGUCAAUAUGGAAGUCCUUUGAAACCAUAUACUUCCCUGGUUGUGACUUUGUGGUACAGGGCACCAGAACUUCUAUUAGGAGCGAAACAGUACUCCACGGCAAUUGAUAUGUGGUCGUUAGGGUGUAUAAUGGCUGAGCUAUUGUCUAAAGAACCUUUGUUCAAUGGGAAGUCAGAGGUUGAGCAGCUUGACAAGAUAUUCAAGGUUCUUGGAACUCCCAAUGAGACGAUAUGGCCUGGGCUUUCUGACCUCCCUGGUGCGAAGGUGAACUUCGCCAAGCACAAGUACAACCUUUUGCGCAAGAAAUUUCCUGCGACAUCUUUUACAGGGACACCUGUACUAUCUGAUGCUGGAUUUGACCUUUUGAACAUGCUUCUAACUUAUGACCCUGAGAAGAGGAUAACUGCGGACGCUGCUCUCAACCACGAAUGGUUUCACGAAGUCCCGUUACCUAAGUCUAAGGAAUUUAUGCCUACUUUUCCUGCUCAACAUGCACAAGACAGGCGCAUGAGAAGAGUAAUGAAGAGUCCAGACCCACUAGAGGAGCUGAAGAGGAAGGAAAAACAAGGGGAACUAGGAACUGGUGGUUUAUUUGGCCAAUAACUUCCAUUUUAUUAUUAGUUUGGGUUCACCCAUAAACGGACAUGAUUGAGGUGAGAGCAAAAAGGGAGUUGCAAACAUUGAUUGUGAGACUAUCACUCGUGCUGUUUUUUAUCAGGCACAUGAUGCCGUAGUGGGGAAACUGUCUGGCCUGUACUUGUGAAUCCUAUGUUGCAGGCUGGAUUUUCUUAUUGGGGUUGGCUGACAAUUUGGAUCCAGCUUUGGUGCUUACCCAAAAAGAGGUGGUGAUGUAAAGUGGAUGGGAGAUUCUUAGCUUUUCAUUGCCGAAGAAUUUGACCCUAAGUUUACCACUCUGGAGGUAAAUAUUAGAACCAAUUAUAUGGAUGUAUUUGAGGAUUGGAAUUUGGUUUAUACACAUGCAAUGGUGUUAUCCCAUCUUGGAUCUUUUAUGAUAUUACAAGCUGUAGAUUAACUGCUCGUCAUUGUGUUUCAUCUGAUGCUAUGGAGCAUGCUUAUAACACUAAGAGGAGAAAGAACAGCUCACACUAACAUGCUUUCUCUUUAAUAUUUUUGCUUAUUUGUGUUCUUGAUGCUUCUUAGGUCACAGUCCUGUACUAAUAAAUUGCAUGUAUUUUUUUUCCGGAAUAGAUAGUUUUUUUUGACUGCCAAAUAGUCUGAAAUGGCCAUAGCUAACCCUUUCUGCUUAGAGAUGCUUAUUUGUUGCAGCAGUCUGAAAUCUGGUGCUAUAAUUGUCUUAGUCUUUUCCUUAUUGGUGGUUUUCUAUGUUCUUGACUUCUUGCUAGUGGAUAUUAUCAGUUCAUGUGCUGGUGGGCACAAGGAUUGGAACACUAUUUUUUUGAGGUUCAAAAUCGAUUGUCAGUGGCUAAGUUGAUUAAGUUUUCUUUGAGUAAUCAUCAUGGUUCUUUUGUUGCCGAAGAAUUUUCUCUCUCCGUAUUACAAGUUUAAUAUUAUUCGUAAUCUUCACAUGCAUGUCCAUUGUACCAUCAAUAUAAGGGAUUUGUGAUCCUUCCAAGUUAAAUCUAUAUGAUUGUUUACAAAAAUUUUUAUCUUCAAAUUUAGACAUUUUAUUGGUCAUUGCUGUAAGGAUAGCCAGCAGUCUUGCAUAACCUAUUUUUACACCUAAUAUUGACGUACCUUUUUCCUUAUUUUUGUACCUUGUUCAGAAUAUUUAAUUUAUCUUGCCCCACAUUGUAGCACCACCAAUAGCGUGCGACAUUGACAUUUGACCCUUUAUAACAUUCAUCUGAAAUGUGACUGCAGUAUUCAAGCAAGCACGCCCGUGAGUUCAGUUACGUAGGUUGGCCCUCUAAAUUGUCAAAAUUAUUUUCUGUCAUACGUUUGUACUGAAGCUCUAGAGGUACACAACAACUUUAUUGUUCUAUUAAAUUAUCUAAGCUACUAUUAUGCACCUCAGCGAAGGUUCUAUGAUAUAUCCUUGCUGACACCAGCAGAAAAAAGUAUCCUUCCAGCAAUUUAAUUUUAAGCAGUCAAUUUACAUGCGACUGAUAGGCAUAAAUACUACGACUACUAUUUGUUGUUUCUUUUCUCCUGUGUAGCUGUUAAUAGGCAAGAGCAUAUGUUGAGCAUCUUAGUUCCAAUCAGCUUUGCCAUUAUUGUUAACACCAGUUUCUUUUUGGUUAUGGCUAGACUCUUAUACAUUUUUAUCCAUGUCGAUGACCGUAUCUGUGAUUGAGUUCAUUUUGCAGCCGGGUUGGGUUAACUUGGAGGAAGUUGUUUCUGAUUACCAUUAACCUAUUGGAUUAUACUUUCCAUUAACAGUAGUGAUCAUACGUGCCUAUUGUGGCAGGUAUUCUUGUCCUUGCUAAGUUGGGAUGCAGGUAUCAAGGUUUUGUGCUUUACAGAUAAGCCAGUACUAACUUGUUAUUGAUUAAUCUAGUUCCUGUGUCUGUGUUGUCCGGAUAAAUUAUUGUGGGUGUGCUUUUGCCGCUUAACAAUGUUGACCAAAGAGUUGUUAAGUUCUUAACCUUUGAACGUCCGAAUUGUCAUCCACCCUAAACACAUGAUUCAUCAGGUAGUAAAAUCGUAUGUCACUUAACAAGGUAAAGAAUGUCUUCUUUCCAAUGUUUAGUUUCAUAACUGGUAUAGUAGUAAUUUAAUGACAGAAAUACUUGCUCUGAACUGCAUAGGAAUAGAUUACUUUUUUCGCGCUUGAUAUACAUAGUGCAGAAGGGAACUAAUUUUAGAGUUAUUGGGUAUUUGCUGUGUUAAAUGGAUUGCUAAUAAUCGCAGAAUUUAUUGUUGACAAGUAAAAAGUUACACAGGCUUAUAAAGCAAGGUGAGGCGAUGAAACUCUUCAUCCUACUUGUCAGUUGGUAAUGGAAGCUGGUCUACUUUUUGAUAACUUGACCUUUGUACAGCUAUUUGUGGUCAUUUCACAUUUAUGUGACAAAAGUUCACUGGUGGGAGAGAUUGAAUUUGAAAGAAGUAGCAGAUUAUGCUGCAAAGCUGGGUUGUUGGAGUGGCCGUUUUUCGUGACCUUUUACUCCUUUUUCUCUUGGCAUUGCAUCCCUCCCUCUCUCUCUUUUUUUUGUUCCUUCAAUACCAAUAUUGGUUCUCGAUGAAACUGGAUUCUCUUCCUUUUAGGAAAUAUCUCUUCCGUCUACUUUUGUCAAUCCCAUUACAGUUGAGUUAUAUCCUUCUAUAGAAAAAUGCUAAGAGUAUUGGUAUUUUAUUUAUAUACUCCAUAAUUAGCUAGCCUAACUAUGUCAACAAUCUAAUUUCUUUAAUUAAUGUUUUUAACAUCA
Salvia splendens (bonfire salvia) is the source of this 5560-nucleotide RNA transcript. It is a transcript of the gene named cyclin-dependent kinase G-2, with no coding region annotated. The transcript has 7 exons. The record is from RefSeq and is a predicted model, not a curated record. NCBI's taxonomy places the organism in Eukaryota, Viridiplantae, Streptophyta, Magnoliopsida, Lamiales, Lamiaceae.